UACACUGGUCAUUUUCCUAUUUGUUUUCUGUGUUUUACUUCCUUCUAUACAAAAAGUUUUAUGUUUCUACUUUAAUUCCUCUGUUGACUUUUACUAUAUUUUUAGUUGUUUUUCUCAGUGAUUACAAUAAAGAUUAGUAUAUGCAUCUCAAUUUAUCACAGUUGCCUUUAAAUUAAAAUACUCUCAAUUUUCCUAGAAUACAAAAACUGCUGCAAUAUGGCUCCAUUCCUAUCCCCAUUUUGUACUACUAUUGUCGUAUCAUUACAUCAAUACAUGUUAAAAUGCAACAAUAUAACAUUAUAAUGAUGGGUUUAUGCAAUUUAAUGUCUUUUACGUUGCUUAAGAAAAGAUACAAUAUAUUUAUGAAAACUUUUAUAAUGACCUAUUUAAUAUUUUCUGUGAUUUUUCAUUUCCUAGUUGUCUGUUGUCAGACUUCUUUUAUUAUUACUUUUUUUUUCUCUUUUUAGGGCUGCACCCAUAGAAUAUGGAGGUUCCCAGGCUAGGGGUCUAAUCAGAGUUGUAGCUGCUGGCCUACGCCACAGCCACAGCAAUGCAGGAUCCAAGCCAUGUCUGUGACCUACACCAUAGCUCAUGGAAAUGCUGGAUACUUUACCCACUGAGCGAGGCCAGGGAUCAAACCAGCAACCUCAUUGUUCCUAGUCAGAUGCAUUUCUGCUGUGCCAUGAUGAGAACUCCAUAUUAUUACUUCUAAUAUUGGUCUACUAGCCACAAAUUCUCUUGAUAUUUGUUUAUUUGGAAAUAUCAUUAUUUCAUAAUCAUUUUUGAAGAAUUUUUUUUUUUGCUCGGUAUAAAGUUAUUGGCUGAGAAUCUUCAGUACUUUAAAUGUCAUCCCAUUGCCUUCUGGCUUCCAUUGUUUUUGAUGAGAAGUCUGUUGUUUAUCCUGUUGUGGUUGUUGUGAGGGCAAGUGCUUUUGCAGUAACAUGGGGCUGUGGCCAGGAUAAUUCUGACAUCACUGUCAGCCUCCUAGAAUCCUGCCUCAAGCACUGCCUCCAAAUAUCAUCUCAUGCUGGUGUGGUUGGAGCUUGGAGAAAAUGAUAUAAAAGUGGCUGAGUAGUGCUUGCAACUGACAUAACUGGGACCAGGACAGGGGUGGAUCUGUGCCCCCAGGUCAGUGACAGCACAUCUCUGGCCAACAGGACACUUGGCUUUGUCCUGAUUUCUCUUGGACUUCAUGUCUUUUUUCUUGCUACUUUCAAGAUUUUCUCUUUGUCUUUGGGCUUCUACAAUUUGACUGUGAUGUUUCUAGGUGUGGAUCUCUUAUUCUUAACAUACUUUGAGUUUGUUCAGGCCUUUUUGAUGUAUAUGUUAGUGUUUUUAGAACCUAGGAGAAGUGUAAAAUCAUUAUUUUUUUAAAAAAAUCUCCUUCCUUCUCUGUCCUAUUACAUGUAUGUUGGUGUGCUUGAUGCCUCUUCAUAUAUUUCUGAGGCUCUAUUUAUUUUUAAAAUCUUUUCUUUUUGUUUUUCAGAUUGGGUAAUUUCUGUUGCUUUGUAUUCAAGCUCGUAAUUUCUUUCUUCUACAUUCCAUGGGUUUGGCCAAUACAUAUGAUAUUUCCAUCAUUACAGUAACAUACAAAGUAUUGUCUCUGCCCCAAAUAUCCUCUGUGCUCCCCUUAUUCAUUCCUCCCCUCUCCAGUCCCUCACAACAAGUGUUGAUUUUAUUCUCUCUAUAGUUUUUCCUUUUCUAGAAAGUCAUAUCAUUGGAAUCCUACAGUAUACAGUCUUUUCCAUUUUACUUUUUUUACUUAGUGAUAUACAUUUGUUUCCUCCUUUUUGUUUCAUGGCUUCAUAGUUCACUUGUUUUAGUGAUGAAUAAUAUCCCAUUGUCUGAAUGCAUCACAGCUUAUUUAUGCAUUCUCCUACUGAAGGAUUUAUUGGUUGAUUACAAGUUUUUGGUGAUUAUGAAUAACCUUCUAUAAACAUCCAUGUGUAGGUUUUUGUAUGGACAUGUUUUCACCUCCUUUAAGUAAAUACCAAGGAACAUGAUUGCUAGAUCACAUGGUAAGAAUAUGUUUAGUUUUGUAAGAAGCUGCCAAAUUGUCUUCCAAUGUGCUUGUACCAUUUGCAUUCUCAUCAACAAUGAAUGAGAGUUACUCUUGCUCCCCAUCUUCAGCAGUAACUGGUGUUUUCAGGGUUCUGAAUUUCAGUCAUUCUAAUAGAUGUGUCAUGGUAUGUCAUUGUCGUGGGUUUUUUGUUUGUUUGGAUUUUUCAGGGCUGCACCCAUGGCAUGUGGAAGUUCCCAGGCUAGGGGCCGAAUUGGAGCUGUGGGUGCCGAUCUAUGCCACAGCCACAGCAAUGUGAGAUCCAAGCCACGUCUGAGACCUACACCAUAGCUCACAGCAAUGCCAGAUCCCCAACCCACUGAGUGAGGCCAGACCAGGGAUUGAACCCUCAUGCUUAUGGAUGUCAGUCGGGUUCAUUAUGGCUGAGCCAUGACAGGAACUCCUGUCAUUGUUUUCAUUUUCAUUUUCCUGAUAUCAUAGGAUGUGGAGCAUCUUUUCACAUGCUUACUUGCCAUCUGUGUGUCUAUGUGUGUGUGUGUGUGUGGUGUCUAUUAAGGUCUUUGUCCCAUUUCUACAUUGGAUUAUUUGUUUUCUGGCUAAAAAGCUUAACUCAACUGAGGAGAAAAGAGAAUCGUCCCCGAGGAAGUGGUUUCUGAAGAAGAAAUUUGAAUGAUGAGUCAGAGUUGGGUAGGUUGAGAGAUAUGAAGUAGGAAGGAAAGGAAAAUGUAUAGACAAAGGGAAAAUUAUAUGCCAGCACAAGGAGUUAAGUAAUAGGGGGCCACAAUUGAUGAAGUCUGGAUGAUAAUCUAGCAAAGGGGAGAAUCCUGCCUAAAGUGUGCAGGGUCAUGGGUUCAAUAAGAUUAUUUGAGAUUUGAGGUAUUUUCCUAAAAGAAGAGCCAAAAUGAAAUAUUUUAAAUAGCUACAGUGGGUAGGUUUGGGAGGGUAACAUGAUCAUAUUUCUAUUUUAGAAAGAUCUCUCUGGUUGCAGAAUGGUGAAUGGAUUUGGGUGGGUUACAAGGUGGUUUGCUAGGAAGCCAUGUUUGAGGUACCAUAAGAACCUAGUUGAAAGAUGAUCAUGGCUUGGGCUCUGGUGACUAUAGUGUGGAUGGAGGAAGAUAUAUUGAUGUGAGAUAUACUUAACAUGUUGAACCAAUAGACUAGACUUUCGAUUGAGAAAGAGAGAGAGAUGGAGAAGUGGGGGAGAGGGAAUAGUCAAAAAAUAUUCUUGAGAUUCUAGUUUGAGCAUCAGAAUAGAUGAUGAUGGCAUGUAUGGGGCUGGGAACAACAGCACAGGGACAAGCAUGGGAGAGGAAGGGAGAAAAAUUCUGACGCCAGAUCUGGCAUAAUUCAAGAAUAAAAGGUAUGGAGCUGGAGCUUGUAGGCGAGGACUGCUUUGGAGAUACGGGAUUGAGAGUUGUUGGCAUAUCCAUGGCGACGGAAGCUUGGGGAGAAGCUGUGUAGAUGGAGUCAAGAAGAAAGACAGAGCCUGGAAGAUGGCCUAACAUUAAGGAUGGAUCCAGGAAAGGAGAGUAAAGGUGCUUAGAAAUGAUGAGAGGGGAACCAGGGAAAUUUGGCACUCCUGAAACCAAGGAAGGGUUCUUUCUCAAAAAAGAGUAGUCAGGGUAUCAAAUUUUGUUGGUAGAUCAAGCAAGAUGAGGGCUAAAAGGGUCCUUUGGGUUUGGUCUUAAGAAGGCAUCUAUUUUUCUUGCUGAGAGAAGUUUCAGUGGAAUAGGCGGAGUAAUGAAUUAGUUGAGGACUAAGCUGGUGGUAAAGAAAUGAAUGCUGUGAGCUUUGAGUCAAGAAGUUUGACUGUCACCCUGACUUCUGGGUUGCCUAAUCCAAAGGCCACUUUCCAGUCUUUCGUUUUUUGAACAUUUGACCAUUGCGUGUUUUGGUGAGGAGGCUUAGUUGUCAAUUUUGCCUGAAAUAUAGUCGAUUAUCUCAUUCUCAAAGUUUAAAAAAUGCCUAGUUUGUAUAAAUAUUCUCUUAUUAUACUUUAGAGUAUUGCUUUGCUCUAUUUGCUUAUUUUCUGCAUAAAGACCCACUCAUUAGUUUAGUCUUUAAAUGUGUUCAACUUACCUGCCAACUGUUCUGAUAUUUUCAUUUUCAUUCAAUGUUGCUUUAAUAGUUGAUUUGUAAAAAAGUUGUGUUGGUGUGCUAUGCCUCAUUUAAUCACGUUUGGGCAGCAUUGUCUUUACCGUGCCCUGUACAACUGUGAUUUUUUAAAUUAGAUUUUUUAAAUAUUAGUUGGUGGUUUAUAUCAGUUUGUUCUUAUUUAAUAGAAAAUAUAUCUCUCGUAGUCUACUGAACAUCUGAACAUAAGAGGUGGCUCUUUUAUGAAUCAUUCUUUUAUUUCAUGAAGUUUGGUAGAGUAUCAUUUAUCCAAGAAUCUAAAGAUGAGUAUAUGAUGGAAUUAUUACAUUCUUGUUAUAUCUUUAUAUUUUUUAAGAGAAAAGACAUUGCCCACUUUUAAAAAUCAUUUAUUAUAGUAACUGAGGAAUGAUUUCCUGAAGUAAAUGAUCCGUGGUGAUGCUAAGCUUCACUGAGCUGGAGCUGUGGAUGCGAGAGUUGAAAUGGAUGGAUGAAGGAUGCCUUUAUCUGAUGCUGUUUUAUACUGUGAAAAGCCCAUAAAUUUCAUUGGGCAAACAUCAUUUAUUACUGAGCAGAAGAUGCCUCAAAUGUAGAGGCUGAAAGAGAAACCUGAGCAAGAGGCAGCAGAGGAAGGAAAAGCAGAUGACGGAUCUUUUCAUCAACGUGGCGGCCCUGUUCCAUUCUCAGAUUCUGUGCCACUGUUACAUCAUAUUCUGUUGAUAAGGGACCAUAGCCACAUCCCUGUCUUCAGAUCAAGAAGGAUUUCCUGGGAAAUAAACACUUCCUUUUAAGAAGUAAUUUAUCAUUUUUAUAAUGUGUCAUUUUAAAGGAAAGGAGUGUAAAGCAAAUUCUCUCUGUGUGUAUGCAUCAAUAGGUAAAAUGUGUUUGCUGUGUUCCCAUGAUUAAAUAUUAGUUAUAUGCUCUUUUUCCAUUUUCAAGUUAAUCCAGGUAUUUUUCCUGGGGUGUAAGAUGAAAGCUUAUGUUUAGCAUUCUUCAGUUAGAUUUCAUGAUACAUUUAUAUUAGAUAAAACUCUCCUAGGAUAUAUAAAACUUUAAAACGAAUCUAUUUUCUACCAUGCCAUAGGUGCCAUGUAAGAGUCUCAGAUGCCUUUUAAAAAAAUGUUGUGCUUGCUUGAAGCUAAGAUGAAUGGAUCUGGCAAUUACAUUGAUGACAUUGUUCUGUAAGAGGCUGAAUCCUGGCCAUUCUUGUAGAAUGAUCUCCCAUUGUCCAGCUGCUUUAUAGGAACUCUUUUUUGAACCUUACUUAAAACUUCACACCUUUCUCUUGAACUUCAGAGAACAUCUUAUGAUCUCUCUUGAUUUCUUACCAGGGCAUCUGCAGGUGGACUCGCCCUUUUUGGUGUGGCAAGGAACAGGAAGAGCGACUGAUUGUUGCCCCAAUAACUGGCACCGUUAGUCAACAUUCAGAAAUUGUCAGACGCAGAGGAAUGGAUAAAGAAAAGUGGUACAUGUAUACAGUGAAAUAUUACUUAGCCAUAAAAAAGAAUGAAAUCAUGCCCCUUGUAGCAACAUGGAUGGACCCAGAAAUUAUCAUACUCAGUGAAGUCAGUCAGACAGUGAGAGACAAACAUCAUCUGAUAUCACUUAUAUGUGGAAUCUAGAAAAAAUAGAUACAAAUGAACUUAUUUGCAGAACAGAAACAGACUCAGACUUUCAAAAACUUAGGAUUACUGAAGGGGACAGGUAGGGGAGUGGAGAGGGAUGGACUGGGGGUUUGGGAUUGGCACAUGCACACUGAGGUAUAUGGAAUGACGGCUAACAGACUUGCUGUAUAGCACAGAGAACUCUAUCCAGUAUUCUGUGCUAAUCUAUGUGGGAAAAGAAUCUGAAAGAGCAUGAAUGUGUGUGUGCGUACAACUGAAUCACUUUGUUGUACAGCGGAAAGUUUCAUGACCUUGUACAUCAACUAUAUUUCAAUACAACUUUAAAAAAUGGGGAGUUCCUGUUGUGGCACAGUGGAACCAAACCUGACUAGUAUCCAUGAGGAUGCGAGUUCAAUCCCUGGCGUUGCCAUGAGCUGUGGUAUAGGUUACAGAUGUAGCUCGGGUCUGGCAUUGAUGUGGCUGUGGUGUAGGCUGGCAGCUAUAGCUCCGAUUCAACCCCUAGCCUGGAAACUUCCAUAUGCCACGGGUGUGGCCCUAAAAAACCACAACAAAAAAA
RNAcentral lists this long non-coding RNA (6292 nucleotides) under Sus scrofa (pig). RNAcentral's name for it is "lncRNA (ENSSSCG00015006089.1)". The record is from RNAcentral. Lineage: Eukaryota; Metazoa; Chordata; Mammalia; Artiodactyla; Suidae.